GACGAACGCUGGCGGCGUGCCUAACACAUGCAAGUCAACUUGACUGAAGGAGCAAUCUGACAGUAGAGUGGCGCAAGGGUGCGUAACGCGUAAGUAACUUGCCCCAAGGUAAGGAAUAACGUCGAGAAAUCGGCGCUAAUACCUCAUAAUGCAGCGGAUCCGCAUGGAUAUGUUGUUAAAGGUUAUCGCCUUGGGAUAGGCUUGCGUCUGAUUAGCUAGUUGGUGUGGUAACGGCACACCAAGGCUACGAUCAGUAACUGGUCUGAGAGGAUGAUCAGUCACACUGGAACUGAGACACGGUCCAGACUCCUACGGGAGGCAGCAGUGAGGAAUAUGGC
Molecule: ribosomal RNA, 338 nt
Filed under: uncultured bacterium
Lineage: Bacteria
Description: bacterial SSU rRNA
Rfam family: Bacterial small subunit ribosomal RNA
Source: RNAcentral